This 16-nucleotide ribosomal RNA is filed under the name Candolleodendron brachystachyum. RNAcentral's name for it is "partial 26S ribosomal RNA". The record is from RNAcentral. Lineage: Eukaryota; Viridiplantae; Streptophyta; Magnoliopsida; Fabales; Fabaceae. RNAcentral also lists the same sequence under 2 other names.
CGGGACCUCAGGUCAG